This 570-nucleotide long non-coding RNA is filed under the name Pan troglodytes (chimpanzee). RNAcentral's name for it is "long non-coding RNA NONPTRT010911". The record is from RNAcentral. Lineage: Eukaryota; Metazoa; Chordata; Mammalia; Primates; Hominidae.
GUAAACGUGAGUAACCAGGGGCCCGGAGAUGGAGCCAGGGCACUGGCAUGGGAGGGGUUAUCCUGAGCAGCCCAGGCUGGGCAGGGGAUGUGGGGAGCAAAAGAGAGGAGGUGCUGGCAGCCCUGCCGGUGAUAAGAUGGAGCCUGCUGUUGGCAGGGAGGCAGAAGGCAAUAGGGAAGAGUUGGAGGCAGAGGGAGGAGGGCCCUGCCCACACAGACCCCUUCUUCUCCAGACUCAGAGACGGCUGAGGAUGACAUCAGCGAUGUGCAGGGAACCCAGCGCCUGGAGCUUCGGGAUGACGGGGCCUUCAGCACCCCCACGGGGGGCUCUGACACCCUGGUGGGCACCUCCCUGGACACACCCCCGACCUCCGUGACAGGCACCUCAGAGGAGCAAGUGAGCUGGUGGGGCAGCGGGCAGACGGUCCUGGAGCAGGAAGCGGGCAGUGGGGGUGGCACCCGCCGCCUCCCGGGCAGCCCAAGCAGCGUCCCUCAGAGCGGGUUGCGCAGGGAGGAGCCCGACCUUCAGCCUCAGCUGGCCAGCGAAGCCCCACGCCGCCCUGCCCAGCCG